Molecule: ribosomal RNA, 497 nt
Filed under: uncultured bacterium
Lineage: Bacteria
Description: partial 16S ribosomal RNA
Rfam family: Bacterial small subunit ribosomal RNA
Source: RNAcentral
GACGAACGCUGGCGGCGUGCCUAAUACAUGCAAGUUGAGCGCUGAAGGUUGGUACUUGUACCAACUGGAUGAGCAGCGAACGGGUGAGUAACGCGUGGGGAAUCUGCCUUUGAGCGGGGGACAACAUUUGGAAACGAAUGCUAAUACCGCAUAAAAACUUUAAACACAAGUUUUAAGUUUGAAAGAUGCAAUUGCAUCACUCAAAGAUGAUCCCGCGUUGUAUUAGCUAGUUGGUGAGGUAAAGGCCCACCCAGGCGAUGAUACAUAGCCCACCUGAGAGGGGGAAACGCCACAUUGGGACUGAGACACGGCCCAAACUCCUACGGGAGGCAGCAGUAGGGAAUCUUCGGCAAUGGACGAAAGUCUGACCGAGCAACGCCGCGUGAGUGAAGAAGGUUUUCGGAUCGUAAAACUCUGUUGGUAGAGAAGAACGUUGGUGAGAGUGGAAAGCUCAUCAAGUGACGGUAACUACCCAGAAAGGGACGGCUAACUACGUG